UCGACGAUGAAGCCCUUCGGGGUGGAUUAGUGGCGAACGGGUGAGUAACACGUGGGCAAUCUGCCCUGCACUCUGGGACAAGCCCUGGAAACGGGGUCUAAUACCGGAUACUGAUCGCCUUGGGCAUCCUUGGUGAUCGAAAGCUCCGGCGGUGCAGGAUGAGCCCGCGGCCUAUCAGCUUGUUGGUGAGGUAAUGGCUCACCAAGGCGACGACGGGUAGCCGGCCUGAGAGGGCGACCGGCCACACUGGGACUGAGACACGGCCCAGACUCCUACGGGAGGCAGCAGUGGGGAAUAUUGCACAAUGGGCGAAAGCCUGAUGCAGCGACGCCGCGUGAGGGAUGACGGCCUUCGGGUUGUAAACCUCUUUCAGCAGGGAAGAAGCGAAAGUGACGGUACCUGCAGAAGAAGCGCCGGCUAACUACGUGCCAGCAGCCGCGGUAAUACGUAGGGCGCGAGCGUUGUCCGGAAUUAUUGGGCGUAAAGAGCUCGUAGGCGGCUUGUCGCGUCGGUUGUGAAAGCCCGGGGCUUAACCCCGGGUCUGCAGUCGAUACGGGCAGGCUAGAGUUCGGUAGGGGAGAUCGGAAUUCCUGGUGUAGCGGUGAAAUGCGCAGAUAUCAGGA
Molecule: ribosomal RNA, 623 nt
Filed under: bacterium 31-L049640-122-012-G04
Lineage: Bacteria
Description: bacterial SSU rRNA
Rfam family: Bacterial small subunit ribosomal RNA
Source: RNAcentral